ACUGUUGGUGGCUCACAAUGCUCGAACUUUCGAUGUACCUUUUCUGACUAAUGAAUUUAAUAGAUGUGGUGUUGAUAUUCCUUCUAAUUGGCUAUUUGUGGACACAGUUCCUUUAGCACGCGAAUGGAUGAAGUCUGAAGGUCUCUCUCACUCUCUGUGUAUUUUGUUGUGUUUUCUUUUACUUAUUUUAUCAUUAGGGACAGGAAAGGCAGGGCGCGAAAUGCAAACUCAUUUUCUGCAUACCUUUUUGUGGGGAUACUGAUAUUUUCAAUAUCAUUCAUUAAUCUGAUACUUCAUAUUUGGCUUUGUUAAUAGGAUUCAAAAUUUCUUCAAGAGUAUCUCUGGCAGUCCUUCGCGAUACAUUUGGAAUUAAGUUGACUGGAUCAGCUCACCGAGCAAUGUCGGAUGUGAACACAUUAUCAUUAGUUUUACAGAGGCUGACUUUCGACCUGAAAUUGACACUUGAUAGCUUAGUAGCAAAGUCGUUCACAGCCUCAGAUUUGACCAAUGUAAAGAAGAAGAAUUCAAGCUAGUUUAAAGUUGUAAUAUGUUCAUUGUAACUUGUAACUCAUUCUUUGUCAAAAUAAGCUCAAGCCAUUAUUUUUAAUAUUUAAUGUUUUGUUUAUUCCAUAUUUGGCUGGGAAAACACAGCAAAAUAAAUGUAAACAGAUGUAUAAUUUUUAGCAUGAAGGAUGUGAAUGCAAUAUUAAAGCUUG
RNAcentral lists this unclassified non-coding RNA (716 nucleotides) under Hevea brasiliensis (rubber tree). The record is from RNAcentral. Lineage: Eukaryota; Viridiplantae; Streptophyta; Magnoliopsida; Malpighiales; Euphorbiaceae.